Molecule: ribosomal RNA, 820 nt
Filed under: uncultured bacterium
Lineage: Bacteria
Description: bacterial SSU rRNA
Rfam family: Bacterial small subunit ribosomal RNA
Source: RNAcentral
ACGCUGNGCGGCGUUGUGAUAANGACAUGCAAGUGGGACGCUAAUCAAUGGGUAGCAAUAUUCGUUGGUUGGAGUCGCGUAAGGGUGCGUAACACGUGGGUAAUUUGCCGUGAAGCUUGGAAUAACUUGCCGAAAGGUAAGCUAAUACCGAAUGUGACUUGUGCUGGGCAUCCAGUAUCAGUCAAAGCCGGGGAUCGUAAGACCUGGCACUUCAUGAUAAGCCCGCGGCCUAUCAGCUAGUUGGUGAGGUAACGGCUCACCAAGGCUUAGACGGGUAGCUGGUCUUAGAGGACGACCAGCCACACUGGAACUGAGACACGGUCCAGACACCUACGGGUGGCAGCAGUCGAGAAUUUUUCACAAUGGGCGAAAGCCUGAUGGAGCGACGCCGCGUGGGGGAUGAAUGGCUUCGGCCCGUAAACCCCUGUCAUUCGGGAUCAAAUCUGACAACCUAACACGUUGUUAGUUGAUAGUACUGAAAGAGGAAGGGACGGCUAACUCUGUGCCAGCAGCCGCGGUAAUACAGAGGUCCCAAGCGUUGUUCGGAUUUACUGGGCGUAAAGGGAGCGUAGGUGGCAGAUUAAGUCUGACGUGAAAGCUCUGAGCUUAACUCAGAAAUGGCGUUAGAUACUAGUUUGCUUGAGGAUUGGAGGGGAGAUUGGAAUUCUCGGUGUAGCANUGAAAUGCGUAAAUUUCGAGAGGAACACNANUGGCGAAGGCNAAUCUCUGGACAUUCCUGANCUGAUGCUCGAAGCUAGGGGAGCAACGGGAUNAAUACCCGGUAGUCUAGCUGUNAACGGUGCACCUUGCUGUAGGUGGA